AACGAACGCUGGCGGCAGGCUUAACACAUGCAAGUCGAGCGCGGUCCUUCGGGACUGAGCGGCGGACGGGUGAGUAACGCGUGGGAACGUGCCCUUUCCUCCGGAAUAGCCCUGGGAAACCGGGAGUAAUGCCGGAUACGGCCUUCGGGCGAAAGAUUUAUCGGGGAAGGAUCGGCCCGCGUUGGAUUAGGUAGUUGGUGGGGUAACGGCCUACCAAGCCGACGAUCCAUAGCUGGUUUGAGAGGAUGAUCAGCCACACUGGGACUGAGACACGGCCCAGACUCCUACGGGUGGCAG
This 297-nucleotide ribosomal RNA is filed under the name uncultured Pseudomonadota bacterium. Its description in RNAcentral is "uncultured proteobacterium partial 16S ribosomal RNA". It matches the Rfam family "Bacterial small subunit ribosomal RNA", at positions 29 to 351 of the family's 1533-position model. Lineage: Bacteria; Pseudomonadati; Pseudomonadota. The record is from RNAcentral.